This is an RNA transcript of Solanum tuberosum (potato), 1582 nucleotides long. RefSeq lists it as uncharacterized. The record is from RefSeq and is a predicted model, not a curated record. NCBI's taxonomy places the organism in Eukaryota, Viridiplantae, Streptophyta, Magnoliopsida, Solanales, Solanaceae. The transcript is spliced from 3 exons.
GUGUGCUCUAAUAAUCUUUAAAAAAAUUCAACCCAAAUAAUUGAAUCCCACCGUAUAUCUAAAUCUCCCCCUAAUUUCUAAAAAGCUGAAUAUUAGGGUUUUCAUAAAAUCUGCCAACACUGAGAGGCGAGAUUGAUUUCUCUGGUAAGUUCUUCUUUGUGAAAUUGAUUAUGAGAUAACUGCUACAAGGAAUAAGGCUACAUGGAAAUGACCUCUUCUCGGUGAAAUUGGUACUGUCAUUUUUGGCGAAUUUCAGCUAAAAUGGGUUAACUCUGCUAGUUGAAGUGAGGUUUCUUCGCCUGCAGUUUACAUAGCAGAAAGUGUUAUAAGCUCUAGAAUAGAAGGUACCUGACCCGAUGCAGCAGAGAACACCGUAGCUAUUGCAGCUGGGUAAGCUUAAUCUCUGGUGCAGCUAGUUCAUCGAUUCUCCUUCAAGUUGGGAAGAACUCGCCUUCUCCGAUACAAAUAGUGGAGUACUCGGGACCAUCACUUAGCUACUAUAUCAACAAGCUUAAGCCCAUGAAAGUAGUCCAAACUUCAGUAACCGAGACACCAACUGCACCAGAAGUUUAUGGUUUACAAGCUUUAGUUGCAGCACCAGAAAUAGAGGCAUUGAAUGCACCAAAAAUUGAAGCAAUAAAUGCAACAGAAGUUGAAUUCUCUAAGCCAGAAGCUCCAGCUCCCCAAGUUGAGGUGUAUAAUGACCUACUACUAUUGAUGUGGUUUGUUCCUGUGACUUGUAUGCAAACUUUAAGCUGAUUCUUCUUUUCUCAGUUGCUGGUUAGUGUAGGAGGAGACGAUGGUAUUUUGCGUGAGGUAUCUUAUCAUUAUUUUGUCGAACAUGUUGAUAUAUGUAAGAUUGACAAGAUGGCAAUCGAGGUAAGCAUACUCUUAAAUGCUAAUGUUUGUUCAUAAAAAUGUAUAUUUUGGUCACCAUUGACAUUUUUCAUCUCCUCUAAGGGUAGAGGAACGUUAUUGAUUCUUCUAUUUACAUGUAUUAGUAGUUUCUUAUGUCAUAGUUUAUCUUAUCAGGAAGUGCUACUUUUCAGGUCCAUCCCAAGAGUUGUGUGUAAAGUCUUUCUUUGAAACUAUAGCAAAGGCUCUUCGUCCAGGUUGCAGGCUGAGGGCAUAUGGAUUUACAUGCACAUAAUUAGAGAAUUGUUGCUCAUUUCUUUCAUAUCUUCAAUGGCUCAGUUAACUAUGCAUGGACUACUGCUCCGACUUAUCCAAGGUAACAUGGCAACUCUAUUGCUUAUCUUUAACCAAGAGUGUUUCGAAUCCUUGUUCUUGCUUGUUUUCAUUUUUUUUAAUUGAAUGGUGUUGUGUGAAAAAAAAAUAGUUUACAGUAAAUAAAAGGGUUUGAGCAAAGUGAUUAUCUUGAUUAAUUUUAGUUUGAGUUUCUCUUUUGUUGCCAUUUCUGUUCUAUAUGUGCAUGUACUUGUUAUGGUAGUAUUUUCUGUUUUAAAGGUUUCAAUAAGCUCUCACAAUAAAUUACAGGAAGUACUAUUUGUGAUCAAUAAUUAGAGAAAAAUAUGAAGGUCUGAGUAUAUCUUAUUCUAACUUAGGUCUUUACUUAUAUUUA